Molecule: RNA transcript, 980 nt
Organism: Nicotiana tabacum (common tobacco)
Lineage: Eukaryota; Viridiplantae; Streptophyta; Magnoliopsida; Solanales; Solanaceae
Source: RefSeq, a predicted model, not a curated record
GACACCCUUUCAAAAGAAUAAUAUCAACCAUAAUGCCUCUUUCGUGUUCAUGUUCAUCUUAUCUUUCCUUCUUCUUAUUCUUCGUCAUCGUCUAUCACUUUCCCAAUCAUUCUUGUAUUGCUCGCAAGUCACUGCUCAUGACACAUUAUUCACGUCUUCCAGCUAAUAAAAAGGCUGCAGAAGAGCUUUAUUUCGGCACUGAUUCGUCCCGUGUAGAAAACGGUCCUAGAGGAAUUACGAACUAUCAAAAGGUCAAAAAAAUAGAAGUUUUUCACAAGGAAAAGAAUGACAAUAAAGGCACAAUUUCAGGUGUCCUUUCACAUUACUCCCUUCAUUUCCAUCGUAUUUAAUGGAGUGUCUUUUUGUUUUGGCAGGUACUGAAAUGAUUUCUCCAUCAUCUUUGCCCCACGCACGUUUGCUCAAGGCACUAAAAACUAAGGGUGCAAGAUGGUCAGCAGCGCAGGACAUAGCAGUGGCUUCCCAGACUGGAAAUAAGAAUUUAUAUCGAGAUAUUAUAGAGAUGGAUUACGAUCCACCACACCGUAAAUCACCCAUUCAUAACUAAAAUUAAUCAAAUGUCUCGGCACAGUUAUAUGUUUCCAAACAGAACUUUAUCUUUUCAGUGAUAGUCUACCUCAAUAAACUCGUACCUUGAGAUAUUUUUCAUUCAACUACUUAUGUACUUGGCUCGAUAGAAAUCAUACAUAAAGAAUUGCAUUUUAAAUUGUUCUACAGGUCCGGUUCCUCUUAUUCCAUGAUAAUGCUAACUUGAUUGCGGCGGAUAUAAUGCAGAAUCGUACACAUACAACAUCGCAGGUAAUACCAUAUAAGAGUGGAUCCUAGUCAUAUUACAUUUUGACAGAGGUAAUCCAUUGAGUUUACAACAACAGAUAUGCUAUUAAGGUUUUGUCGUUUUACGGCAGGUGACCUAGUCAAAGUAAAAACAUCAAAAAUUUGUUAUAAAUAUAUUAUAUUAUAGA